GUGUGUGUGUGUGUGUGAGAGAGAGAGAGAGAGAGAGAGAAUUGAAUAGAAAGUGGGUAUUCAUAUCUAUUGAUACAAAGCAGGUGGGGUAUCUUUACAAUAUUUGUUUUGAUAUGUAAGAGAAAUUUUGCACGAAGCCCAAUCUUAACUUCAUGAUUCAUCUAGUUUAGCUCUUCCAUGUUGUUCUUGCACUAGGGUUUCGCUUGGGUUAAGCAUUCCUUCAUGUUUGAGUUAUGGUCGAAAAUGUUAGGAAUUUCAAACCAAUAUGUGGGUGAAAUUAUAGAUGGAGCCCCAUUCCGUUCUAUGCUCGGUUUGGAUCUAUUUUGUAUUUUUAGUUUGGUU
This 342-nucleotide long non-coding RNA is filed under the name Elaeis guineensis (African oil palm). RNAcentral's name for it is "long non-coding RNA (EGUI_LNC020462)". Lineage: Eukaryota; Viridiplantae; Streptophyta; Magnoliopsida; Arecales; Arecaceae. The record is from RNAcentral.